Molecule: long non-coding RNA, 525 nt
Organism: Polypterus senegalus (gray bichir)
Lineage: Eukaryota; Metazoa; Chordata; Cladistia; Polypteriformes; Polypteridae
Exons: 3
Source: RefSeq, a predicted model, not a curated record
CGGAGGUGGCAGCGGCGGCGGCAAGUGGCGUCCUACUUCACUGGCUGGGUCGUAGUUGUAAGCAAUAAAAUGGAAAUAAACAGAGAUCAAGCACAGUGCCACUGUGAUGUUUGAAACAAAGCAGAUACCCCAACUUUCCAUGAGACCCUUUUGGACAAAGCCUAAAAAACAAGCAACUACUUAAGAUCAUUUACGUUAGGUUGACUGCCCAGGUGGGGGCUGGGUGGCCUUUUGGCCUUAGGACCCCUGCAGAUUUUAUUUUUUUCCAGCUGAUCUGGAGUUUUUACAUUUUUUUCUGUCCUCACCGGCUAUCAUCUUAUUUUCAGACUCAUCUUCAGAGACUUAAAAAGCAAGCUCUCUCCUUUGCCUCCAGACUCCCGCUUCCCAAAUGGAGUGAGGCGGCCCCUUUUAUAUGGUACCCGGAUGUGCUCCAGGUGCUCGUUGAUGACCUUCCUGAAGAACUUCCUGGUGUGGCAGAACUGCUGCAGUCCAUGGCUCCAGAACCAGGCGUUGCGGUGGAGCAAG